UACGAAGGGGGCUAGCGUUGUUCGGAAUUACUGGGCGUAAAGCGCGCGCAGGCGGCUCUUCAAGUCAGGGGUGAAAGCCCAGAGCUCAACUCUGGAACUGCCUUUGAGACUGAAGAGCUUGAGUACGGGAGAGGUGAGUGGAAUUCCCAGUGUAGAGGUGAAAUUCGUAGAUAUUGGGAAGAACACCGGUGGCGAAGGCGGCGCACUGGCCCGUUACUGACGCUCAGGCGCGACAGCGUGGGGAUCAAACAGG
Molecule: ribosomal RNA, 253 nt
Filed under: uncultured bacterium
Lineage: Bacteria
Description: partial 16S ribosomal RNA
Rfam family: Bacterial small subunit ribosomal RNA
Source: RNAcentral